Molecule: long non-coding RNA, 2781 nt
Organism: Pongo pygmaeus (Bornean orangutan)
Lineage: Eukaryota; Metazoa; Chordata; Mammalia; Primates; Hominidae
Exons: 3
Source: RefSeq, a predicted model, not a curated record
GGCUAUUAAAAUUUUAAAAUACACUGUGGGUCACUCACAUUCUGUUUCUACUGAACACUGCUGGUCUUGGGCGUAGAAAACCACAGGAGAGGUCCGUGGAUGGUUUUUCACAGUGAAACAGGUAAUGUUUAGGAAUCAGGUUGAGGAAACGGAGGAGGCCUCUGAUUCCAGCCCCACACAGCCCUGACCGUGGCGGGGGAUGAGUGCUGGCCUAAUGACCUGCCCUGUGGCUAGAGGGCGUGGCUUGCACAGCUGCACCCUGUGCCACACCGGCCUGGUGAGGCAGAGCGGUUCCCUGCUGGUGAAGCAGCAGCUCCCUGGGUGAGCCUGUGCAUGGUGAGGGGAUGGAGACCGAGAGCCCAGGGAGGAGGCUGAAGGACAGAUCCUCUCCAGACUGCCCUCAUUACCAUCCGGGCAGAUGACUCAUCUGAGGUCCCUGCUCUCCUCAGGCCAUGAUGAGGGCCAUGAUGAUGACCACUCACAGUGAAUCACACUGAGAAUGUGUGUGUGUGCUGGGGGGCAGGCAGGAUUCCCAGCCAGGAAAGGAGGAGUAGAGGCGGAGCAUGGGUCCCACUGCACCUGCUCACAGGGUCCUAGGGCUGCUGGGAAAUGCUUCUGGGGAAACCCGAGGCUCCCCUGGUCCCAAGCUCCUUCCCCAGCAAAUCUGCAGCCAGAGUACAAGGCGUAGGGCCUCUGAGAGCCAUGAACAACAGAGUUGUUCUCUGUCCCCCUUUCAGACCCAAAGCAGCUCUGGGCCAGCCAGUUAGGCUUCCUCCCUCUCAGCAACACCUCUGCCCCAGAGCACAGAGAUUGCCCAGGACUCUGGCAACCUGGGCAGGGUGCCUGGUCCCUGGGGCAGCCGGGCCUCCCCAUGGAGUCCUGGGCUUGUGGAGGAGGAGGAGCGCCCUCUGUAGGCUGGCACACACAAGUGCAGGCUCCACAGGAAAGAGGAGAUGGCUCACCGUGGAGGCUGCACCUUGUGGCUGUGGGAAGCCACAGAUCCUGCAGAGGUCCUCUCUCCUGUGGCUACAGCUUCUUGGGUUACAGAAUAACUGUUAAUUCUGAACCUGACUCCUGCUGUGGCUUUCCAACAGCUACCAUUUCUUUGAGUCGAAGUUUGCUGGGCUAAAUGCAUCAUAGACAUAGCCAUAUUACAACCUGUAAGGCAGGUAUUGUUAUUUCUGAUUUCUAGGUGAGAAAACAGAGGCUCAAAGAGAUUAGGUAUAUUGUCCAGGGUCACACAACUAUUACCUGGGGCCUGAUUCCAGAGUCCAAGGACUAACCAAUUCACACUGCAGCCCACUUAGGGUCUGGCCUUCUAGGAGGGAAAGAGAGGUGUGAGGACAGUCAGGGAAACAGCUCUGGUGACCUUCAGUGCGGCGACCAAGAUGAGGUGGGGAUGAUGGAGAAAUGCAGAGGAUCCAAGCCAUGGGAUGGAAGUGACAAGAGGCCAUUGCUUUGAGUUCCCCUGAGAAGGCGUUUGUCAAUAUCUCCCCAGCCCGGUUAUCACGGGCUAUUUCUUGACAUCUUGACAUCACCCCCACCCCACACACAUAUGGCAGCCCCAUUCCACUACACAUGCACCGCUAGUCAGCCAUGGGGCAUACACUGGGAUUUCAUGCUGUCCUCCAUUUCACAGAGGAGGAAACUGAGGACUAGGGAUUUCCCCAAUCUCAGACCAUCCCACUGAUCACUGGCAGACCUCAGGCCCACCCCACUUACUGAGUUAAACUGGAGUGCAUACUGAGUCUGCCAAGGACAGAGAAGUCGGGUGGUGCCUCCGAGCCUUCUUUAGGCCUGUGGUUGGGGGCCUCACGCCUCCUCUCCCCAACACAACAGACUUUGUAUCUCAUAUUCAAGUUUACCACCCCUCCUUGUCCCUUUGUUCUGCCAGGUUCUCUAGCCCCCCUUUCCUAUUGAGUUAGGAGUUUUGAGAACUCAUUGUCACCAACUCCCCCCACCAUCAUCUUCAUCUUCUCUGCCGCUGCUCUGUUACCCUCAUCUCAUAUUGGUCACUACAAUGACCUUCACUGCCCCCACCACUCUACCAUGGCCUCUAGCACUUGAGCCGCCACCUUGAUCUUCAGCAUUACCAGCACGUCCUGCCAUUGUCAUCAUUUCUGUCCUUUGUGAUGGCAGCGUCACCAUUUUCCUCCUCCCCAUGACUUCCACCCCUCACCUCUGCACUGCCAUCCUCUCCACUAUGACUGUCACUAACAUGACCUCUGCCACCUCCACUUCAUCUGCAGAAUCACAUCCAGUAUCACCUCCACUAUCGCUGUCACCACUGCCGCCACUACCAGACCUGCAUAGCAGCAUGGUGGGAAGAUCCUAAUCUACAGUCUGCUGGGCUGGGAGUACUGCAGAUGAGCUGAGAGAAGCUCCACUCUUCCAAGAUUGUUACUUUCAUCACUCCAUCACCUGGGAUUUAUCUGAAUCUGGAUCAAUUCGGUGUCAAGACUGAAUCCACCUCGUCCUUAAGACCUAACAGGUUUUCAAAUAUGCACCCUAGUAGACAAGAGGCUUCUUGCAGAUAACACAGGAAAUGACGUCCCAACCAAAAAUAAUCGGCCAUCUAAAGUCACCAGCCUAAAAGAAGCAUUAGAAAAUGUUCAUCUGAUGUUUCUAUUGAUUCUUCUCUUCCCAAGGCCAAAACUAGCUCAGCAAGAUGUCUUUUACUCUGGUUCUCGGCCUCUCUGGCAAAAUGCAAACACAGUUUCAUCCUUGGAGAACUGUCUUUCAUGCAGGAACCCUUAUUUAAAUAAACUGCCUUCAGAACAU